RNAcentral lists this ribosomal RNA (161 nucleotides) under uncultured bacterium. RNAcentral's name for it is "partial 16S ribosomal RNA". It matches the Rfam family "Bacterial small subunit ribosomal RNA", at positions 1340 to 1500 of the family's 1533-position model. The record is from RNAcentral.
AAUGGCAGGUCAGCAUACUGCCGUGAAUACGUUCCCGGGCCUUGUACACACCGCCCGUCACACUAUGAGAGUUGGGAAUACCCGAAGCCUGUGAGCUAACAUUUAUGAGGCAGCAGUCGAAGGUAGAAUCAAUGAUUGGGGUGAAGUCGUAACAAGGUAAC